RNAcentral lists this ribosomal RNA (432 nucleotides) under uncultured bacterium. Its description in RNAcentral is "bacterial SSU rRNA". It matches the Rfam family "Bacterial small subunit ribosomal RNA", at positions 29 to 507 of the family's 1533-position model. The record is from RNAcentral.
AACGAACGCUGGCGGCAUGCCUAACACAUGCAAGUCGAACGAAGCCUUCGGGCUUAGUGGCGCACGGGUGCGUAACGCGUGGGAACCUACCAUCAGGUUCGGAAUAACAGUUAGAAAUGACUGCUAAUACCGGAUAAUGUCUUCGGACCAAAGAUUUAUCGCCUUUUGAUGGGCCCGCGUAAGAUUAGGUAGUUGGUGGGGUAAAGGCCUACCAAGCCGACGAUCUUUAGCUGGUCUGAGAGGAUGAUCAGCCACACUGGGACUGAGACACGGCCCAGACUCCUACGGGAGGCAGCAGUGGGGAAUAUUGGACAAUGGGCGAAAGCCUGAUCCAGCAAUGCCGCGUGAGUGAUGAAGGCCUUAGGGUUGUAAAGCUCUUUUACUGGGAUGAUAAUGACAGUACCCAGAGAAUAAGCUCCGGCUAACUCCGUG